AAAUUGAAGAGUUUGAUCAUGGCUCAGAUUGAACGCUGGCGGCAGGCCUAACACAUGCAAGUCGAACGGUAACAGGAAGCAGCUUGCCUGC
RNAcentral lists this ribosomal RNA (91 nucleotides) under Salmonella enterica. RNAcentral describes it as "partial 16S ribosomal RNA". It matches the Rfam family "Bacterial small subunit ribosomal RNA", at positions 1 to 90 of the family's 1533-position model. Lineage: Bacteria; Pseudomonadati; Pseudomonadota; Gammaproteobacteria; Enterobacterales; Enterobacteriaceae. The record is from RNAcentral.